UAACACGUAGGGGGCUAGCGUUGUCCGGAAUCAUUGGGCGUAAAGCGCGUGUAGGCGGCCAGAUAAGUCCGGUGUGAAAGUCAAAGGCUCAACCUUUGAAUGCCGCUGGAAACUGUCUGGCUAGAGUCCGGAAGGGGCGAGUGGAACUCCUGGUGUAGCGGUGAAAUGCGCAGAUAUCAGGAAGAACACCUAUGGCGAAGGCAGCUCGCUGGGACGGUACUGACGCUGAGACGCGAAAGCGUGGGGAGCAAACAGGAUUAGAUACCCUGGUAGUCCACGCCGUAAACGAUGGGCACUAGGUGUGGGAGGUAUCGACUCCUCCCGUGCCGAAGCUAACGCAUUAAGUGCCCCGCCUGGGGAGUACGGCCGCAAGGCUA
RNAcentral lists this ribosomal RNA (377 nucleotides) under uncultured bacterium. RNAcentral's name for it is "bacterial SSU rRNA". It matches the Rfam family "Bacterial small subunit ribosomal RNA", at positions 521 to 896 of the family's 1533-position model. The record is from RNAcentral.